This 867-nucleotide ribosomal RNA is filed under the name uncultured bacterium. RNAcentral's name for it is "bacterial SSU rRNA". It matches the Rfam family "Bacterial small subunit ribosomal RNA", at positions 9 to 916 of the family's 1533-position model. The record is from RNAcentral.
GAGUUUGAUCCUGGCUCAGAAUGAACGCUGGCGGCAAGCUUUAUACAUGCAAGUCGAACGUGGCUCCCUAGCUUGCUAGGGAGCUAAGUGGCAAACGGGUGAGUAACGCAUAGGAAUCUACCCAAUAGUGGGGGAUAACCAUCGGAAACGGUGGCUAAUACCGCAUAAUCCCGAGAGGGCAAAGAUUUUAUCGCUGAUGGAUGAGCCUAUGUUAGAUUAUGCUUGUUGGUGAGGUAAUGGCUCACCAAGGCUGUGAUCUAUAGCUGGUCUGAGAGGAUGAUCAGCCACACUGGAACUGAGAUACGGUCCAGACUCCUACGGGAGGCAGCAGUAGGGAAUAUUGGACAAUGGGCUAACGCCUGAUCCAGCUAUGCCGCGUGAGUGAUGAAGGCCUUAGGGUUGUAAAGCUCUUUCAGCAAGGAAGAUAAUGACUGUACUUGCAGAAGAAGUCCCGGCUAACUCCGUGCCAGCAGCCGCGGUAAUACGGAGGGGGCUAGCGUUAUUCGGAAUUACUGGGCGUAAAGGGCGCGUAGGCGGCACAUUAAGUCGGAAGUGAAAUCCCAGGGCUCAACCUUGGAACUGCUUCCGAUACUGGUGUGCUUGAGUGUGAGAGAGGAUAGUGGAAUUCCUAGUGUAGAGGUGAAAUUCGUAAAUAUUAGGAGGAACACCAGAGGCGAAGGCGACUAUCUGGAUUACUACUGACGCUAAGGCGCGAAAGCGUGGGGAGCAAACAGGAUUAGAUACCCUGGUAGUCCACGCCCUAAACGAUGAGUGCUAGAUGUGGGGGUAACUCCGUGUCGUAGCUAACGCGUUAAGCACUCCGCCUGGGUAGUACGGUCGCAAGAUUGAAACUCAAAGGAAUGACGG